AUCCCAUUGUGUCUUCCUCUGUUGUUAGACCUUCACCGUCACCAUAUUGCAAAAUUCCAAGUUCGGCAUACCCUUGCAUAUGUGUGUGGAUGAAGUCUCACAUGGACAAAGAAGAGGAACCGAUGCCUUCAACAUCCGGGAUCGGAUCAGACAGAAUUAGAGAAAGAGUUAGUUCCAGACAAGUGUGGUUUAGACCUAACUACGACUUGUCAAGUGAUGACUCUGAUUAGAUUGGGGUCUUGAGAAACUGAAGACCUACCUGGGAAGUCCCAUUAGGAUACCAUAACUUCUUUGUUGUAUUUGUUAAAGCCGAUGGCUUUCUAGCAGGACCGCGGAUGCCUUAGGUAGCGUCUUGCGCCGGGGCUUUUCUUUAUCCCGCUGCUAGAUUUUCAUUUUAGAUGUUAAGGAUUCUAGCAGGACCGAGGAUGCCUUAGGUAGCGUCUUGCACCGGGGCUUUUCUUUAUCCCGCUGCUAGAUUUUCAUUUUAGAUGUUAAGAUUUCUGGCUGAAAGGGCAAUGCUAACAUUUUGCAAUUAGUCAAUGAAUGACUAAAUGCUGGAGGAGGCUAAUAAAAUUUUUUGAGGAAGACAACCAUACUGCUGAACAAAAAUCACUAAAAGGAGUCUGACAUGGCUGGUGCAAAGACGAUAAAUGCGAAAAGGAAUGAGACAACGCUACAGGAUCAAUACUAAAUGUAAAACCAUCUUGCUGGAUAAAAAUCAAACCUAAAAACGAUUAAGACAACGUGGCUCGGGACACUGGAAGCAAUACAAUUGAGACAACACUGCCGCAAAUUUAAGACAUGAAAAAUUACAAAUGGAGGCACAAUAUAAUCGGUUGAGCUCUGGUAUAAACGAAUUGAAACAGCGGCUUUAAAGUUUUAACCAUUUUGGUCUGGACAUUAUAAAAUCCACAAGGAGUGAAGCGUCGUUACGUAUAAAAUAAGAACUGCAGGGACAAUAACAAUGGGAGUUAAUUCAAAUGUUCAAAGAUAACUGGAGGAAGAGAGAAAUGGGCAGGUCCUUUGGAUCCCAGAAAUGAACUGUUUGGUGGCUGGAUUCCAAAACCCUCAAGUCCACAUGUUAAAAUGUCGUCGAACUCAGGUGAUGAUGGUUUUAAAAGGAGGUAAUGCUGCUGGGUGUCAAGCCUAAAAUCUCUUAGGACUGAGAAGAGAUAACACUUUUCGGUACAAGUUAAUCUGUCUCAGUAUGGAGACAACGCUUCCGCAGACAAAUAAAAUCUUUCAGGUAGUGAGAAGUUAAAUUCUUUCAGGAUUAAUAUGAUUCCAGGGUGGAAAAAUUAAAAUGUAGAGGAAUUAAAACAACCCCGCGGAGUACUAAUUAAAACUUUUAAGAAUAAAAAAAAAAGAUAAGAGAUAAAUAUUUGGUUAAUUCUUGGUCCAGUGACUUGGAUCACCAUAGAUUUAUUCUGAGGACCACCAGGAGCUGCAGUCACCUUUCUGGUAAAGCAAAAGUAAGUAUCAGUCAGAGACAGAGCAGUGCGCAGUGAGACUGCUUCUUCCAAGAUUCUCUCUGUGCUUCUGUCUCUGUUUUCCUCUCUGCUCUCCCAUGUUUCAGGGUGUAGUAGCAGUGUUUCCCCACACGGUGCUCUCUGAUAUAGUAAAUUGUUCUCACUGUUCCUCCACUAAUCCACUCUCCCAGUUUUAAUCUUUCAGGCUUUAGCUGUUCAUCGCUGGAUUCUUUUGUGGUCGUCCAUGUGGUUCCUCUUCUUCUGGUUCCUGCUUGUUGGAUCUCCUGAGUCUUGAAUCCUCCACCUUCAACAUCACCGGUCAGGUGGAGGAAGAUAAGAGAACCCAGUUGACGAAAAAAUUGACCAACAAUGAAAACAGAAGACCUGCUUCACCUGCUGUUCUACUGGUUGUAAGAGAUUGUGGAAAAGGUUGGAUCUCCUGAACCUGCAAACCUCCACCUUCAACCCCAUCAGUCAGGAGGAGGAAGAUACGAGAACCAAGUUGACGAAAAAAGUAAGAAAACAUAUUUUUUCCCACCUAACAAUUUCAAAUACGGAUGAAAUUGCGAUCAUUGUCAAAACUGUGACAGUAUCAUCAGUGACAGAAGAAUAUACAUUUCUUCUGUCCAUGUGUAUUCUCUUUAUUUACCCCUGUUGUCUUUCCUUUGUAUUUCAUUUCUCUAUUAACUUAUGUCACACGAUUUGAGCUGCUGAUCUACUGGUUGUAACAGAUUGUGAAGAGGUGUCGCCAUGACGAUGACUUGAUCAGAUUCAGAUUUACUGAAGGGGAAGUAUUAUGUAUUUUCCAGGCACAUAGUGUCAUCUUAUUGCACAAUCAAGUACCAAUGUUACCUUCAGUUGUGGAAUUCUGUAUUUUUCAAAUAUGACAUAAAAGAAAUUUGACUUCAUAAUUUAACAUCCAGAAAUUGGGCCUUUUCUUGCUUUCAGCACAUCAUCACUUUGUCUCUCCAUAAGACCUUUUAUAAGGCUGCAGCUUCAAGGAUUUUUAGACAUAGACUUGGUAAAACAAAGAUUUUUACACCGUUGCCAUGGAAUAUUAAAGGAUUUCUCAAACUUUCCCUACAGAAUAAAGGCAACACUCCAGUGUUGCUACGUUGAAUGAAGAUCAGUCAGAUGACAGAGAUGGAAACAUCUUACAAACUGCUGGUUGCUUUCAGUUCUCUGUGAUUGUCGAUGACAAAGAGAAGAUUGGGAAAGACUUCAAACAGUGGUCCAUCAUUUACCGCAAUCAUCUCUCUAUUCAAAGAUUCAAGGAUGGCCUUUCAACCCUGGAUUUACGUUAUGAUUUGGAGCUUCAUGCUUCUGUGUUCAGGCCCUUUAUGUGUACAAGUGUGGAAACGUUGACAUCAGAAAUGUUAGAGGAAAUCUUUGAGGUUCAGCUCAGCGAAAAGGACAGACGACAAGAAGAAACCAGACUGCUAGGAUUCUCCUUGAGACAGACCAAACCUCGCUUUCCUGUUCAAACACUGUCAGAAUACCAAUGCCCAAGACAUUCGAUCAGUUCCAAAAAAGACAUGGACUUUGGGAUACAAAACUCUUUGGACUUUAUUAAGUUGAAAUACAGAAUCACAAAACUCAAAUGUGGAUGUUGGCCUGUGAAGGCAGAUGUUAACUUGUGAAACCUGCUCUGUCAAAGUUCUGACUCUGCUGCAUUGUGGUUGUUUGUAACACACCAUUAAAGUUUAGACUCUCAUUUAUUUCCAAGUCCACCAUGUUUUUCAGUCUUAUGUAAUUUUCCACAUAGGAUUCCCAAGUCAGUGGAUGCACUAGGCCACUGUCUCUAGAGGUCCUCAAACUGUCCUUAAAGACGGUCAUGGUCACAUUGACUGCUGUUUGACUCGGUCAUAAACUGCCCCAAUUCCUCCUGGGAGUCUGGGGACCCACAGUCUGUCCUGCCAAACCCAGGAGUAAAAUAUACAGAGGACACAUAGUUUAGUUCUAUAUUUACAUUUCUUCAUUCAACUGUCACUACCAACUGCUAUGACUAUUGUUGAAAACUGUUGUAAUGCUUAAUUGUAUUUGUCAUCAGAAAUUGUUACAAUAAAUAGUGACAUACUAACA
Gambusia affinis (western mosquitofish) is the source of this 3551-nucleotide long non-coding RNA. RefSeq lists it as uncharacterized. NCBI's taxonomy places the organism in Eukaryota, Metazoa, Chordata, Actinopteri, Cyprinodontiformes, Poeciliidae. The transcript has 6 exons. The record is from RefSeq and is a predicted model, not a curated record.